Molecule: ribosomal RNA, 253 nt
Filed under: uncultured bacterium
Lineage: Bacteria
Description: partial 16S ribosomal RNA
Rfam family: Bacterial small subunit ribosomal RNA
Source: RNAcentral
UACGGGGGGGGCAAGCGUUGUUCGGAAUUACUGGGCGUAAAGGGCUCGUAGGUGGCCAACUAAGUCGGACGUGAAAUCCCUCAGCUUAACUGGGGAACUGCGUCCGAUACUGGAUGGCUCGAGUUUGGGAGAGGGAUGCGGAAUUCCAGGUGUAGCGGUGAAAUGCGUAGAGAUCCGGAGGAAGACCGGUGGCGAAGGCGGCCUGCUGGGCAGUUACUGACACUGAGGCGCGACAGCGUGGGGAGCAAACAGG